This 345-nucleotide unclassified non-coding RNA is filed under the name soil metagenome. RNAcentral describes it as "partial contains 5.8S ribosomal RNA, internal transcribed spacer 2, and large subunit ribosomal RNA". The stretch from base 1 to 120 matches the Rfam family "5.8S ribosomal RNA", at positions 35 to 154 of the family's 154-position model. The record is from RNAcentral.
GAUGAAGAACUUAGCGAAAUGCGAUACGUAAUGUGAAUUGCAGAAUUCAGUGAAUCAUCGAGUCUUUGAACGCACAUUGCGCCCCCUGGUAUUCCGGGGGGCAUGCCUGUCCGAGCGUCAUUGCUGCCCUCAAGCACGGCUUGUGUGUUGGGCCUCCGUCCUCCUCCCGGGGGACGGGCCCGAAAGGCAGCGGCGGCACCGCGUCCGGUCCUCGAGCGUAUGGGGCUUCGUCACCCGCUCUUGUAGGCCCGGCCGGCGCUUGCCGAAACAUCAAUCUUUUUUCCAGGUUGACCUCGGAUCAGGUAGGGAUACCCGCUGAACUUAAGCAUAUCAAUAAGCGGAGGA